Molecule: microRNA, 20 nt
Filed under: Sus scrofa (pig)
Lineage: Eukaryota; Metazoa; Chordata; Mammalia; Artiodactyla; Suidae
Description: ssc-miR-9799-3p
Source: miRBase by way of RNAcentral
CAUUGCUUUGAUCGUCUGGC